CUCGUAGGUGGUUUGUCGCGUUGUUCGUGAAAACCGGGGGCUUAACCCUCGGCGUGCGGGCGAUACGGGCAGACUGGAGUACUGCAGGGGAGACUGGAAUUCCUGGUGUAGCGGUGGAAUGCGCAGAUAUCAGGAGGAACACCGGUGGCGAAGGCGGGUCUCUGGGCAGUAACUGACGCUGAGGAGCGAAAGCGUGGGGAGCGAACAGGAUUAGAUACCCUGGUAGUCCACGCCGUAAACGGUGGGUACUAGGUGUGGGUUUCCUUCCUUGGGAUCCGUGCCGUAGCUAACGCAUUAAGUACCCCGCCUGGGGAGUACGGCCGCAAGGCUAAA
This 333-nucleotide ribosomal RNA is filed under the name uncultured Actinomycetes bacterium. RNAcentral describes it as "bacterial SSU rRNA". It matches the Rfam family "Bacterial small subunit ribosomal RNA", at positions 568 to 898 of the family's 1533-position model. Lineage: Bacteria; Bacillati; Actinomycetota; Actinomycetes. The record is from RNAcentral.